Molecule: ribosomal RNA, 254 nt
Filed under: uncultured bacterium
Lineage: Bacteria
Description: partial 16S ribosomal RNA
Rfam family: Bacterial small subunit ribosomal RNA
Source: RNAcentral
CAAACCAAAGCUGGCGACCGGCGCACGGGUGAGUAACACGUAUCCAACCUGCCUCAUACUCGGGGAUAGCCUUUCGAAAGAAAGAUUAAUAUCCGAUAGCAUAUAUUUCCCGCAUGGGUUUUAUAUUAAAGAAAUCCGGUAUGAGAUGGGGAUGCGUUCCAUUAGUUUGUUGGGGGGUAACGGCCCACCAAGACUACGAUGGAUAGGGGUUCUGAGAGGAAGGUCCCCCACAUUGGAACUGAGACACGGUCCAA